GUGAUUUUUCUGAGCUGAUACUUUAGGAUUUUGGUUAGCCGAUGCUGCUGGCGAUAGGCAGCAGAAAUUGCACUUCAUCCUCAUGUCCAUGGAUGUGGUUUUCUUCCUUUUUGGCAUAUGUAUUGUAGCAGCAGACUACAGAAUUAAAAUGUAAGAAAUGGAAUAGGAGUGUUUGGUUUGUGCCAAAACCAACACCACCCCAGAUCUGGCUAGCCAACGAUUGGCAACAAGUUUGGCUUGAUGAUUUGGGCACAAACCAAAUCACACCCCAAUUCUAUGUUUAUGCUUUGGAAUUCCUUCUUGGCUGGGAACUUUUUGGCAUCUGCAAGUGGAUGUAAUGUGGCUAUAUAUUCUGAAUGGAAAAGAUUGUCAUAGAUAUUUCAUGUAUGAGUUGCAAUCUUUGCAGUGAUCAGCUGAUGCAAUUACUACUACCAUGUAUCCAAGAAAUCUAUGUUCGUUUUAUUAUUUAGAAAAGAUAGAAUUGAAAGGGUGGAAUAAAAGAAAUUGUGGUUAUGGAAUGACCUGGGCCAGUGGUGCGGUGCUUGGUAUCCCUCCACUGAUGAAGAGAUGAGCCACUGGAGUAAUUCUCAUUAGAUGGAUAAAAAUGGGAACAUAUGAGAUUUUUUUUUGUGGAUGGAAACAUACGAGAUUUGAGUUCAGUGAAGUAAUUUUCAUUAGAAGAAUAAAAAUGGAAACAUAUGAGAUUUGAGCUCAGUAAAAUAAUUUUCAUUAGACGAGUAAAAGUGGAAGCAUAUGAGAGAUUGAGCCCAGAAAAAUAAUUGCAUUAAAUGAAUGAAAAAUAGAAAACAUACGUGACUGAGCCACUGAAUUUUGCAUUAGUAAAUUAAAAAACAAAAAAGAUGGUGGUCUGUUGUGGAAGAACUCUGAACCAGAGCGGGCCCAUGGUGCAGCGGCCUGUUAUCCUUCCACCGUUGGAAGAGGACAGUGAGCGCUGCUCUGUGAAUCCAGCCUAACGCGGUGUCCUGCUACUGCAGGGUAGAUGGAGGCCUUAAAACUGUUGUCAAUGCUAGAAAGUUCGUCCCUGGUGCUAGACUGUGUAUGCAACCUGAUGUCAAACCGAACAAGCGCAAGUCAAGGACCUCACGCAAGGAGAGGUGCCGAACUCAGGCGCCACUUCUGCCUGGACUUCCUGAUGACCUGGCUAUUUCAUGUCUGAUGCGGGUUCCUCGAGUGGAGCACCCUAAUCUUCGUUUAGUCUGUAAAAGAUGGAGCCGACUUUUAUCUGGUAAUUAUUAUUACACACUGCGGAAGAAAUUUGGCAUGGCAGAAGAAUGGGUUUAUGUCUUCAAAAGGGAUCGUGAUCAGAAAAUAUCUUGGCAUGCCUUUGAUCCGGUGCACCAGCUCUGGAAGUCACUUCCUCCAGUUCCACCAGAGUAUUCGGAAGCCGUGGGAUUUGGUUGCGCUGUUCUCAGUGGCUGCUAUUUGUACUUAUUUGGUGGCAAAGGCUCAGUGCGAGGGUCUAUGAGGCGUGUUGUCUUUUACAAUACUCGGACAAACAAGUGGCACCGGGCCCCUGAUAUGCUACGGAAGCGGCAUUUCUUUGGUUCUUGUGUAAUAACCAAUUGCCUCUAUGUUGCUGGUGGGGAGUGUGAAGGGAUACAGAGAACUCUAAGGUCUGCAGAGGUUUACAAUCCAAACAGGAAUAGAUGGUCUUGCAUUACUGAAAUGAGCAUAGGAAUGGUGCCUUUCAUUGGAGUUGUAUAUGAUGGCAAGUGGUUCCUAAAAGGAUUUGAUUCUCACCGGCAGAUUGUGAGCGAGGUCUAUCUGCCAACAUCGAACAUGUGGUCAACCACUGGUAAUGAACUGGUUGCAGGCUUACGGAAUCCAAGCAUUUCGUUUAACGGUCGUCUUUAUUCAGUGGAUUGUCGGGAUGCCUGCAAGCUAAGAGUUUAUGAUGGGGACAAGGGAUUGUGGACAAGGUUCAUGGACAGUAGACGCCAUCUAGGCAGCUCGCGGUCUUUUGAAGCUGUGGCUUUGGUCUCACUGGAUGGAAAGAUCUGUGUUAUCCGUAAUAACAUGGGCAUCACCCUUGUUGAUGUCUGUGACCCAACAACAGUUAUUGAGAUUGACAGUGCCCGCAUGUGGGAGACUUUUGCCCGGAAGGGCCAACACAGAUCUUUCAUGGCAAACUUGUGGUCAACAAUUGUAGGGCGUCAUUUAAAGACCCACAUUAUCCAUUGCCAAGUGCUCCAAGUUUGAAUGUGUCUGUCUGUCAAGUGAAAACAUGUUCAAAUGUAUUUAAUUGUCGUGGGAGAUAAUCAGAUUUUGAAAGAAAGCCCUCGAUUAGAAGCUGAAAUAUGGAUGCCAGUACAACAGUGCCCCACCAGGCGGAGGCAUCAUGUUACGGGAUCGAACAUCAUCUAUUGAUUCCAUUCUACAAAUUCUCCGAGGCAUUAACCAAGUUGCAUGAUGUUUAUCAAAGAGGGGCCAGAGCAAUGGUCGUGAAACGAACAAGAAUCUUCCGUAGCACCAAUGGUGUAUCCGGAAGCACGUGAUUUUUCUGAGCUGAUACUUUAGGAUUUUGGUUAGCCGAUGCUGCUGGCGAUAGGCAGCAGAAAUUGCACUUCAUCCUCAUGUCCAUGGAUGUGGUUUUCUUCCUUUUUGGCAUAUGUAUUGUAGCAGCAGACUACAGAAUUAAAAUGUAAGAAAUGGAAUAGGAGUGUUUGGUUUGUGCCAAAACCAACACCACCCCAGAUCUGGCUAGCCAACGAUUGGCAACAAGUUUGGCUUGAUGAUUUGGGCACAAACCAAAUCACACCCCAAUUCUAUGUUUAUGCUUUGGAAUUCCUUCUUGGCUGGGAACUUUUUGGCAUCUGCAAGUGGAUGUAAUGUGGCUAUAUAUUCUGAAUGGAAAAGAUUGUCAUAGAUAUUUC
RNAcentral lists this long non-coding RNA (2894 nucleotides) under Triticum aestivum (bread wheat). RNAcentral's name for it is "long non-coding RNA (TAES_LNC003667)". Lineage: Eukaryota; Viridiplantae; Streptophyta; Magnoliopsida; Poales; Poaceae. The record is from RNAcentral.